UACGGAAGGGGCGAGCGUUGUUCGGAAUCAUUGGGCGUAAAGGGCGCGUAGGUGGUCUUGUAUGUCUACCGUGAAAGCGUACGGCUCAACCGUAUUUUGUCGGUAGAAACUGCAGGACUUGAGGCUGGGAGGGGCUGGCGGAAUUCCCUGUGUAGCGGUGAAAUGCGUAGAGAUGGGGGAGAACACUCGUGGCGAAGGCGGCCAGCUAGACCAGUUCUGACACUGAGGCGCGAUAGCGUGGGGAGCAAACAGG
This 253-nucleotide ribosomal RNA is filed under the name uncultured bacterium. Its description in RNAcentral is "partial 16S ribosomal RNA". It matches the Rfam family "Bacterial small subunit ribosomal RNA", at positions 524 to 776 of the family's 1533-position model. The record is from RNAcentral.